Propithecus coquereli (Coquerel's sifaka) is the source of this 510-nucleotide non-coding RNA. The record is from the annotation of a RefSeq genome assembly. Lineage: Eukaryota; Metazoa; Chordata; Mammalia; Primates; Indriidae.
CCCUCAGCCACAUGGAGGGUUUACCUUCUGCAGACUCCAGUGGCUCAGAAACCAGGGAUGCAGGGCCAGGCUCGUGGGGUGCUGCAGCAGACGUGGGGAUUUUUCCUUCUUUGUGUUUCCCUGAAGAUGGGAGGCGCUGCAGGCCAAAGCAUUGAGCAGCCCAGUGAGUUGACAGCUGUGGAAGGAGCCUUCAUUCAGGUCAACUGCACCUAUCGGACAUCUGCGUUCAAUGGGCUGUCCUGGUACCAGCAACAUGACGGCAGAGCACCCAUAUUUCUCUCUUACAGUGUUCUGGAUGGUUUGGAGGGGAGAGGUCAUUUUUCUUCAUUCCUUAAUCGCUCUGCUGGGUACAGUUACCUCCUUCUGAAGGAGCUCCAGAUGAAAGACUCUGCCUCUUACCUCUGUGCUGUGAGAGACACGGUGACUAUGAGGCCUCCUCAGCUGCACCAAAAUUCAAAACGCAACCACAGCAGUGAGAAGUUUUGUUUCCCGAGUGUACGCCUGCUGUGA